This 433-nucleotide ribosomal RNA is filed under the name uncultured bacterium. RNAcentral's name for it is "partial 16S ribosomal RNA". It matches the Rfam family "Bacterial small subunit ribosomal RNA", at positions 29 to 507 of the family's 1533-position model. The record is from RNAcentral.
AACGAACGCUGGCGGCAUGCCUAACACAUGCAAGUCGAACGAGACCUUCGGGUCUAGUGGCGCACGGGUGCGUAACGCGUGGGAACCUGCCCUUAGGUUCGGAAUAACUCCCCGAAAGGGGUGCUAAUACCGGAUAAUGUCUUCGGACCAAAGAUUUAUCGCCUUUGGAUGGGCCCGCGUUGGAUUAGCUAGUUGUUAGGGUAAAAGCCUACCAAGGCGACGAUCCAUAGCUGGUCUGAGAGGAUGAUCAGCCACACUGGGACUGAGACACGGCCCAGACUCCUACGGGAGGCAGCAGUGGGGAAUAUUGGACAAUGGGCGAAAUCCUGAUCCAGCAAUGCCGCGUGAGUGAUGAAGGCCUUAGGGUUGUAAAGCUCUUUUACCCGGGAUGAUAAUGACAGUACCGGGAGAAUAAGCUCCGGCUAACUCCGUG